GGGCGGCGCGGUGCCGAGUUUGUCCGCUCCUCCUGGCCGUGUCAUGCGUUCGUGGGGUCCGGGGCCUCCCUGGGUCGGUGCCACUUACGUACGGCAUAGUGACGGAGGGCCAGGAUCAGCAGCAGCGGGGUGGCACUGAGUUAUCUGAGAUGCGCUAUGGAAAUGAUGAGAAUGACUUCUGAGGCUGUGAGCGGUGGCUGAUGAGAGAAGCUAAAGAGAGGAACCUCAAAAUUGAACUGACUGAUAUGCAAUGAAGGGACAUUUCAUGGCAAAUGCAUGAAAGUAUGUCUGUUUUCCUUCUUAAAAGUGAAAUGUGCUUCUGAAGUUCCCUUGUUAUCACAUGUGCUUUGCUUGUCUGAUUUUUCUGUAGAGAAGAGACCUUCAUCCUGUGACUACUUUGCUUCCUGACCUCUCAUGGUAGCUGCAGGCAUGAAGCACUAACAGGAACACAGGGUCCUUAGACUUUUUUUUUUAAAUCUUUUAUUUUAUUUACUAAGCUUUUAUUUUGAACUUCAUAAGUCAGUGUAUACUAAGGAGGGCAUUUUAAAGGAAGCUGCAAUUGAACCGUACGAACUCAUCUUCUUACUGGUUGGAAAACAGCUUAUUUUGUAAGUCAGAGAUCCAGAAUUCUUUCAGAUUCUCAAGUGUUCCAGUGGAUAUGAUGCCCUUUAAUUAUUGAUGUACAGCUGCAGGCUUUCAUUACAUGGUCUGAUUUACUUUUUCCAUAAAGUAAGAGCUCAGUAUUUUAACUGUGCAAAAGUCAAUACCUAGUUUAGAACAUGAAUUGGAAAGAGACAGUAUUUCACAUCGGGUAACACUGUGCUGUCACUGUUUCCUUCCCUGCAACCCCUGUUUGGAAGCUCACUUCAAGUUAUGUUAUGCUGAAAUGGAAUCUUAAUAUAAGUUCUACUAUAUUCAUUAUUCAUGUCCUUGUUGCUGCUUUGAGGCUAAGAAGGAAAUGCAUUUCUUCUCAAAAGAAGGUAAGGGCUAAGCUGAGAGUGAAGAAAACUGCUGAUUCUUUUUUUCCUCUCCACGCACAACUUGGCAGAAAUUGGAUCCCUUCUGCUUAAAAUCAGUCAGUCAGCAGCUAUUAGAAAAGUUCUUUUAGUUUUUGUAUGCUGUACACCUUGUGUACAGUUGUGUCAUUUGGCCGUGGCAGCAUCUGCAGCUAUUUCAUUCAGUGAUUAGUUUUAGCAGAAUAAUACAGAAAAUGGUGUACAACAGUUAAAUGUGACGUGACAUUAGGAGGGAAAAACCCUUUGUAACUUCAGUGUCCUUCACAAGGCUGGCAUAGAUAACAUUUUGCUUGCUCCAGGGAGUGCUCUCUUCUGAAACACUUUAUCUUCAUUUGUAUGUAAGGCGGCGUGAUACACUUGUAGUCUGUUAAACUGAUCUGUGGUCAGAGUUUAUAGCAGGACAGGUAAGCAGGAAUUUUAUAAAGAAACUUCCUUAGGCACUGAGCUAAUAAACUCUGAUCACCUGCAAGAGGCUUUCUGAGAAAUAGCAAUUAUAAUAUGGUGUUGCAUAACUAAUUUUUCUGUGGUUGUUUUGUUCCUGAUUUGCCUACAGUAGGCAGGACUUGGCACUUCAGCGAGUUUAUAGUGCUUUAGGAAACAUGCAUUACAUACUUUAAUUACAUAGACACGUUUUACAUAUGGACUUGUAUUACUCACUUCCACCACUCUGUUUUCAGAGAAACUGGUGAGAUCCAGAAGCUCACUAGAUCUCUGUACUUUUUUGUUACAAUAAUGUCUGGAUUCUCAGUUCCCAUUUAGUUGUGAUGGCAGUGCAGUGUUUGGGAAGCAUGCAGCCAGCUGACUUGUUCUUCUCGAUCUGGGUUUUGUCUCACGGUGGUCGUGUUUUUACCUUUGUAUAAUCAGUAGUCUUCAUUAGGGAGGAAGUCUUGUGAAGGAAAUGUUGGUCACUGACAGUGAGUUGCUCUGCAGCUCUUGCAGCCCACCCAGCAUGCCUUUUGCAGCUCAGCUUGUUGCCAAGGCGUUCAAAAAGAGCCAAGUUGGGUGCUAAGUCGUAAAUGAAGCUGCAUGUUUCAGUUGGGACCUUGUGCUGUAUCUUGCUGUUGAUAAUAAAUAUUGAAAGCUUGGCCUAAGGCAGUACAAGACUGUGCUGCUUCUCCUUUAGCGUGUUAAGGUUACAGGUCACCAAGGGCAAUAUCAGAAUGAAGCUUUGCUUUAGCAAGCUGUGGUGGUGGCCCCGCACGGCCUCCUGCACGAUCCGCCUCCUGCCUUUCCUGUUGGCCAUACCUGCCUAUUCCGUCAUUUCGUUGGCUGCCGCCGCCGCCUGUUAUAAGCAUGCCCCGCCUCCGACCCUUCUUCCGGGAGAGGCCCGCCCGCCCCUUCGCCUCUGCGGAGCCAAUUGGCUGCCCUGGCCGUCACUUAAAGCUUGGGCGGAGGGGCAAUUAGGCGAAAGAGGUUACGUGGGGGGUGUCUGCUCCGCGCGUGCGCGGUCCGAGUGAGGUGAGUCGGGGUAACAGGCGUGCGGAGGCGUGACGCCACCCGGUGCGACGGACAGCAGCUAGGGUGUGCGUCACGUGACGAGGGGAGCCGGCUGUACGGGGCUGAGGAAACACAGGUCCUCGCAGGGCUGGGCGGUGGGUCUGGCGCGUUAUUGGGGCGCGGGAGUCACGCAGGGCCAGGAAGGGAAUCCAAGGCGUCCUGCUGGAGCUGCGGGUGCAGGACGUGUUCUGGGGGCUCCGUGGGGCUGGGAAGGGGGUGGAGAAGGCACGGGGGCCGGGGGGUCACGGACCUGUUUUGCGGGGUAUUCCCCUGGGACUUGGGAGAAGGGGCAGCGGUCUCCGUGCCUGAUGGGGCCGUUCUUCCCCCGAAUUCCACCUCCUCCCUUUUGUUCCCCUCUCGCAGACCGUGGCCUCUCCUCUUUACCUCACGCUGGUGCGGGGCGAGGCCUCGGAGAUGACUCAGAGUCGGAGCCGGGGGGGAGCGCGGCCGGGAACCCCACAGCGG
Long non-coding RNA from Centrocercus urophasianus (Greater sage-grouse), 2978 nucleotides. RefSeq lists it as uncharacterized. The record is from RefSeq and is a predicted model, not a curated record. Lineage: Eukaryota; Metazoa; Chordata; Aves; Galliformes; Phasianidae. The transcript is spliced from 3 exons.